AUUUCAUUUUCAAACACUAAAUUUCUCACCUUCUUUCUUCACUCUAUCUUCUCUCUUUUUACCCACUCACUUACCCACCCUCACCCUUCCAUCUCUAGUAUCACCAAAAGCUUUGCCUCGUCGGCAGCGCCAUUGUUGCUCACAUCAUAGAGUUUGAACCAGAUAUCGACAAUGCUUCUAGCAGCAGAGACAAUGCCGAUGAUGCUGCUUACUGACACUGGUGAUGUCGUUGUCGUUGCUACUAAAGUCAUAGCAUUCGAACCAGGCGCCUUACUAUAUCACUGUUGCAGCAAUGACUCCGAUGAUGCUGCCCGCAGCAGAGUCAGUGCAGAUGAAACUACUUAUUAGAUGUCGGUGAUGCUGCUUAUUAGGUAGCAAAGAUAAUGUUGCUUACUUAAUGACAUAUUUGUUGGUGGUUUUGGUAAUCUGAUCUGUUAUGGAUGGCUUGCGAUGUGGGUAGUUUGUUGGUGGCUUUUUCAUUAGAUCUGCUGUUUAACCAAAUUUUUGGGAUGAUUGUUGGUGUUUUGCAAAUGGUGACAAUGAUUUCUUGAUAUAUGUGUUGUUCUAUUGUUGGUGGUGGUUUAAGAGAUGAUGAUUCUGUUGCUGGUGGUCGUGUUGAGGCUGUGCUUUUGUUCUUGACUUUGCUAGGAGUCGUCGGCAACAAAAAUCAUGUACGACUAAGUCUAUCUUCAUUGUGACUAUUUGUAACCAUAUUUAUGUGAAAUGUGACUAUAAAUGGUCAAAUUAGACUAACUUAGCUUCAGACAGUCAUAUUGAAGACAAAUUUGAUCACAGUUAAUCACAGAUAACACAUCAAUGAAUGUAGUAUUUAUGAUCGUGAAUUUGAGAUGAAGGUGGUAGUGGUGGUCCAUUGGAGGUGAUGGGAACUGGUGGUAGAUUGUGGUGUUGGUUUAUAGUGUGUGAUGAUUUUAUUUGUGGUGACCAUGUUUUAAUGUGAUUGGAUGUUACCAAUUUUGUGUUAUUUGUGAUUGGAUGUGACUUGGUUACAACCAUCACAGUUAAGACUGAAAUUAGUCACACUAAAAAUAAAUUUAAUCACAAUUAGUUGCAAAUAAUACAAGCCGGUGACUUGAAAAUUUUUG
This 1103-nucleotide long non-coding RNA is filed under the name Olea europaea subsp. europaea. The record is from RNAcentral. Lineage: Eukaryota; Viridiplantae; Streptophyta; Magnoliopsida; Lamiales; Oleaceae.